GGAAGGAACGAGAUCAAGAAAAAGACACAGGGAAAAAGAUGGAACUGAUGGGGGUGAUCCACCAAAAAAGAACAGAACUGUGGAGGAAGUCUGGAACGAAGAUCCCCAAAGUAAAGAAAAAACAGCAAUGGAAAGGAUUUCCACAAACCUGGAAGAGAAUGAGUUGGUAUAGCAUAUUCUGUUAAAUUUUUUAUUUUCUCUUAUUAAAUUUAUUUCAGCAGGUCAAGUUCAUGUUAUUGUUAUGUGGAAUUUUUUUAUUUUUGUUGGAGAAGCAUCCAUUUCUUAAGGAUGCCAAACUGGCUUCUGAGUGGUGCCUCAGGAAUGGUCUUCAAGGAAAGGUCUCCCUCCCCGAAAUUCUCUCCAUGGAUCCACCAGAGAGAGCAGAUGUUAUCCAACAAACAAGAGAAACUGACUGGACCAUCGAAAACAGCUGGGAAGAUGUUUAUGAGCCAUUCAUGUUUACAUUCAAAUGUCAAGCAGACUAUGAAAACUUCAUGAUCGAGUGUGUUGAGAAACAAAACCUAAAAAUCUGUGCACGUUUUCACUAACUACAAAUAAAAUGGUACUGACGGGAAAUAAAAAUGUUUGCAAAGGCUCUGUUUUGUUUUUAGAUUCACAUGGAUAAACUCAG
Melanotaenia boesemani (Boeseman's rainbowfish) is the source of this 631-nucleotide long non-coding RNA. RefSeq lists it as uncharacterized. The record is from RefSeq and is a predicted model, not a curated record. Lineage: Eukaryota; Metazoa; Chordata; Actinopteri; Atheriniformes; Melanotaeniidae. The transcript is spliced from 3 exons.